GAUGGGAAAGCAUUUUUGGAAAAAUUUAAAGGAAAGAAAAUAAUGUAUAUUGGGGAUUCUUUGAGUCUAAACAUUUAUGAAUACCGUUUGUGCUUGCUUCAUGCUGCUGUCCCAGAAGCAAAAUUCAAUCAAGUAAAGAAAAUGUCAUUGUUACAUUUGUGGUGAGAUUUUGUUGAAUAUAAUGGCCAAAUAUUAAAAGAUAUAAAUUGGAUUGAAGCUUUCCGGACUGGGCUAAAAACAUGGGCCAGAUGGGUUGAAACAGAUGUUGAUACAACAAAAACCAAAGUUUUCUUUCAAGGAACAUCUCUAGCCCAUUACAAUGGAUCAUAAUGGGGUGAACCAACAAUAAACAGUUGCUUGAAUGAAACAACUCCAAUCAAUGGAUCAAUAUAGCCAAGUGGUUUACCAAUUGCUCUGGACAUAGUGACAUAAGUAUUAAAGAACAUGUCAAAGCCAAUAAUAAAUUUACUUGGCAUAACAAAAGCUAUCACAACUAAGAAAAGAUGGACAUCCUAGCAUAUAUAACGGCAGACAUGGCUUGGAUUGUAUUGGUGCAUUGGUGUUGUUCCUGAUACUUGGAAUUAAAUUCUUUAUCCUCUACUUUAAGAAAAAAAAUGAUUUAUCAUUUUGUUAACAUAUAGUGGAAUAAAUAAAUAUAUGCAAUUUUUCUUAACGUAAGUAUGAUGAUGAGUUGGGAGCAUAGGAGAUGACUAUGGUUCCAUUUUUAUUGUUACUAAAAAUACACAUCUCUCUUCUAAGUGUGAAAGGAUAUAUAAAAAAUUAGAGUUAUUCUUAUUUAUUAGUGUCAACAUAACAUAUCUAUUGUCUCCUCCUUUAUUCAGGUUUGACAUAGAAAACUACCCAAACGAUGUUUCAACAUAAACUUUUAGUCACCCACAUGGCUUGCUUACAACUAA
This is a long non-coding RNA of Solanum lycopersicum (tomato), 917 nucleotides long. RefSeq lists it as uncharacterized. The record is from RefSeq and is a predicted model, not a curated record. NCBI's taxonomy places the organism in Eukaryota, Viridiplantae, Streptophyta, Magnoliopsida, Solanales, Solanaceae.